Small nucleolar RNA from Ziziphus jujuba (common jujube), 107 nucleotides. The record is from RefSeq and is a predicted model, not a curated record. Lineage: Eukaryota; Viridiplantae; Streptophyta; Magnoliopsida; Rosales; Rhamnaceae.
CUUCUAUGUUGUAGACAUCUCAUCAACAAAUCCUUGAAUCUUUCCAAUGCCUUAAGCAAUGACUCACAAUUUUGUUGCUUGAAAUGUCUAAUUUCACUCCUCAAUUG